GCGGAGGAAAAGAAACUAACUAGGAUUCCCCUAGUAGCGGCGAGCGAAGCGGGAAGAGCCCAAAAUGAAAAGCCUGAAUACAGGCGUUGUAGUUGAGCGUUCUUGGGGUGGCAGUGUGGGUAAGUUGCAUGAAACUGCACGCCGUGGAGGGUGAUAGCCCCGUCCAGCCUACACAGGACACCUCGUACGAGAGCGUUUCGAACGAGUCGGGUAGCUUGGGAAUGCUGCUCUAAUUGGUGGUAAAUCUCAUCAAAGGCUAAAUAGCGGCUGGAGACCGAUAGCAAACAAGUACCGUGAGGGAAAGAUGAAAAGCACUUUGAAAAGAGGGUGAAAAGAACCUGAAACCGUCACGGGGGAAGCGGAUCGCGUUGGCCUGGUGGGCGCUUGUGUGUUCAGCCUUUUUGGGUGCAUUGGCACAAGUGCUUAUCCGUCGUGGGUUUCCGGGGAUUGACAAUGAAUCGCCGGGGGCUGAGGGCUCCCUUCGGGUGAGGACGACGGAGCGACGACGCGAUACGACCCGUCUUGAAACACGGACCAAGGAGUCUAGCGCGGGUGCGAGUCGGAGGGUGCAAGCCCGUGGGCGUAGUGAAAGCGAGUGUAAAAACGAGCAGUUUGAGGCGGCAUAAGAUCGUUGAUCUUAAGACCGACCUAGAGCAGUUGCGCUGGGACCCGAAAGAUGGUGAACUAUGCCGGAGUAGGGCAAAGCCAGAGGAAACUCUGGUGGAGGCUCGUAGCGGUGCUGACGUGCAAAUCGCUCGUCCAACUUGGGUAUAGGGGCGAAAGACUAAUCGAACCAUCUAGUAGCUGGUUCCCUCCGAAGUUUCUCUCAGGAUAGCGGGCCGACAGGUUGUUUUGUGCGGUAAAGCGAAUGAUUAGCGUAAUUGGGGACAUCUAGUCUUCGGGCGAUUCUCAAACUUUAAAUGCGCAAGGGUGUCGCUGCUUUGUUGAGCGGCACCGGUAAAAACGUCGGCCCUGUGGGCCACUUUUGGUAAGCAGAACUGGCGAUACGGGAUGAACCGUAAGCAUGGUUAAGGCGCCAAACUGCCCGCUUAUAGAUCCCACAAAAGGUGUUGAUUCAUCGAGACAGCAGGACGGUGGCCAUGGAAGUCGGAAUCCGCCAAGGAGUGUGUAACAACUCACCUGCCGAAUGAAUUAGCCCUGAAAAUGGAUGGCGCUGAAGCGGGCGGCCGACACCAUGCCGUCUGGAAAAGAAUUUCAGAUGAGUAGGAGGGCGUGGGGGCCGUGUCGAAGCGUGCGUGCAGACGCGCGUGGAACGGCCUCUAGUGCAGAUCUUGGUGGUAGUAGCAAGUAUUCAAGCGAGAUCCUUGAAGGGCGAAGCGGGGAAGGGUUCCACGCGAACAUUGAUUGGGCGUGGGUGAGUCGUUCCUAAGCCGAGUGGCGAUUGCUAAGUAGCGGCGAAAGGGAAGCGGGUUGACAUUCCCGCACACGGAUGUGGAGGCGGUGACGCAUUAUUGGGGCGAACACGCUGGCGACGGCGCUGGGCAGAGUUGUCUUUUCUGUUUAACCGCAUGUGCGCGCGGUGUGGAAUCCGCUUGUCGGGAGAAACACGCGUGCACGGGCAGAGCGCCGGGGCUUUUCCGGCGUCCAGCUCGCCGUCGACGGCCCUUGAAAAUUUGCCUGCUGAUUUAGAUCCACGCCGUGGCGUACCGAUCACCGCAUCAGGUCCCCGAGGUGAACAGCCUCUGCUCUAUAUGAAAAAUGCAGGUAAGGGAAGUCGGCAAAUUAGACCCGUAACUUUGGGAAAAGGGUUGGCUCUAGUGCUGCGUGGGAGUGGUUGUCGGACGUUGGCGUUUCUGGCUUGGCAGCUUGGCGCGAGACCCUCACGGGACUUGUUCCGGCAGCUAAGCUGGUUUCACCACGGCCGACGACGCCCACAGCAUGCAGCAGACUAGAACUGCAACGGGCAAAGGGAAUCCGACUGUUUAAUUAAAACAAAGCAUUGCGAGGGCCGUGGCCGGUGAUGACGCAAU
This 1991-nucleotide ribosomal RNA is filed under the name Dicranema cincinnalis. Its description in RNAcentral is "partial 28S ribosomal RNA". It matches the Rfam family "Eukaryotic large subunit ribosomal RNA", at positions 50 to 2190 of the family's 3401-position model. Lineage: Eukaryota; Rhodophyta; Florideophyceae; Gigartinales; Dicranemataceae. The record is from RNAcentral.